Molecule: ribosomal RNA, 275 nt
Filed under: uncultured bacterium
Lineage: Bacteria
Description: partial 16S ribosomal RNA
Rfam family: Bacterial small subunit ribosomal RNA
Source: RNAcentral
GCGUGAGUGAUGAAGGCCUUAGGGUUGUAAAGCUCUUUCGCACGCGACGAUGAUGACGGUAGCGUGAGAAGAAGCCCCGGCUAACUUCGUGCCAGCAGCCGCGGUAAUACGAAGGGGGCGAGCGUUGUUCGGAAUUACUGGGCGUAAAGGGCGCGUAGGCGGCCCGAUCAGUCAGAUGUGAAAGCCCCGGGCUCAACCUGGGAACUGCAUUUGAUACUGUCGGGCUUGAGUUCCGGAGAGGAUGGUGGAAUUCCCAGUGUAGAGGUGAAAUUCGU